Long non-coding RNA from Bombus pascuorum, 2111 nucleotides. RefSeq lists it as uncharacterized. The transcript is spliced from 2 exons. Lineage: Eukaryota; Metazoa; Arthropoda; Insecta; Hymenoptera; Apidae. The record is from RefSeq and is a predicted model, not a curated record.
UUAUUUACGACCUUACGAACCAAAGUAGAUCAGGUGUAAAAUUUUAUAUCGAUUUCAACUUACUUCAGUGGGUAAUGUGCUAUCCUUUUGAGCAAAGAUAAAGGUCACGUUCUUUGUGAACGCCCAAUUGCUGCGAACGUAAGGAAAAUUUUACAGGCUCGACAUUCCUUUUUAAUUAUUUCUUCGCUAAUAAGAUACGUGCGAAGCAUUCUUCGAUAUCAACACGUCAUAAGUAUGUGGCCGUCGGUGGAAGAGAUAUGUAUAAUGCUUAUGAUGAAAUCAUCAAAGUUUGCUUGUAUGAUUCAACAACCGAAAUAGCCAUCGGUGACAUAUAACGGAAUAUACUGAGUAAAGGAUAUUUUCUAGAAUUGUAUCAUUAAAUUCAGGAUUCUUCCUUUCUUUGCAAUAUACUUGAAAAAAUUGUUUACAGUAUACAGUUUGGUAAAUUGGGAUUUUAGAAAUACGCGAUUUUCUACUUUUCACGUGAUGCACAUAUAUUACAAAGAAAUCUCAUAUGCCAAUCAUAUAAAUGACUUCUGCAGACCGAGAUUCCAGCUACUAACUACGUACAUAUACGUGCGACUAGAUCAACGUGUGUCAUCAUGUAACGUAUUAAUUUACAAUCUCGUCGUAUCUCUUCAACCAACAAAGCAUGAUAAUAAUAGCGCUGGAAAGUAGCAUUACUUAUAAAGAUAAUCAUUGUUGACAAAUCAAAGAUACAAUGAGCAAAAAUCGCUCUACGAUUAAAGUAUCGCGACUUUCUGUUGCGUGUUGAGGCAAAUGAAAUUCAGAAUGUCACGCAACAGAGUAAAAUUUCGCUGUCGCGCACAGAUUAAUCGAAAAAAAAGGUGAAAUUCUCUUCGUCCCUUUUAAAGUAUGAAUAUGCAUUCGUGAAAUGUUUCAAGUCUCCUGCGAUUAAAUAAAUAGAAUUAUGUAUUUACGAUUUAACGAGAUUGCUCUUGAGAUAUAUUUUUCUUUACUAUAAGAAUUCUUUUUAGCAAGUGGUCGCAAACAAUCACGAUGACAGAGAGGGCUUUUACGAGUCACACGAAUGUAAUUAAUAAGACAGGUCGUUAAAUUUUUAAUUAAAAGCUGGACGGCCGUUAAUAGAAGGAAUUAUACGUUUCUCGCUAUCAAUCUUCUCUUCGUACUCGUAUGUAAAGAAGUUACCUACGUUUUACAACAUUUGCUGCUGCUUGCAGUCACGGCCAGCGUAUAAUCGAUCAAAGGCGGGUAUUAAGUUCGCUUUUUUAUUUUUUUAUGUGUUACGAUAACGAUUCGUGCGACAGGUUGUUACGUAUCAAAAUCGAGCGAUAAAUGUAGACGACUGUUUAUUCGCGGGAAAACGUAUCACGAAAACGACACCUUAUCGUUUUGGAAAAUUUCUUUUCGAUUUAGGAUGGUCAAAAGGUGAACAUCCUUUUCUACCAACUAAAAUUUCUUUCUGACGUUACGCCAUCAUUUUUCAUCGAGGGAGGUUCAUCUAAAAAUUAUAAGAAAGAGAUAAGACAAAGAAUUUGUCACAAUUUUUUAAUUAAAGGAAAUAGCUUCCCCGAGUGCAGAUGUUUAAAUAUCCAACGCAGAAAGCUGACGAUUAUCCACAAUAUUUAUAACUUAUACGUACAAGGAUUUUAUUGAAAUUGGAGUGUAAUAAUAGUCGUUAAAUCCACAUAACCAGAAACAAAUUGUGCAAUAGUAAUUGAGAAUUCAGUGUGUACACGAUUCGGUUUGCAGGAGAGGGAAGGGGCUGAGAGGAUCGAGGUAAUUAUCAAUUUCCGGUCUAUCUUUUGGAAAUUAACUCGUUCAAUCAGGGUUCGGUCACUGGAACAACUUUCGAUCGUCAUGAUGUGAAACUCUGCCAUUGAAGAUGAUUCCAUAGUAUGUAAAUGCAUAGCAUUACGAAAAGGGAUUUCGUCCUACAAAAGUAAAAGCGAAUACAACGAGAUUGUUAAGAAACGCGAUCACUCGAUAAAGUGAAGGAAGUCUCUCUGUGGAAAUGCGUCGGUUGAAUAGCUGGUUAUUAGUCAACGUCGGCUUUUCUGGAAUCGAAGAUAUCAUGGAAAGCAUUUGCAUCCGCAAUCAGAAAAAUAUGAAACCAAUGCAGUCUUUGA